This 495-nucleotide ribosomal RNA is filed under the name uncultured bacterium. Its description in RNAcentral is "partial 16S ribosomal RNA". It matches the Rfam family "Bacterial small subunit ribosomal RNA", at positions 28 to 507 of the family's 1533-position model. The record is from RNAcentral.
GACGAACGCUGGCGGCGUGCCUAAUACAUGCAAGUAGAACGCUGAAGGAGGAGCUUGCUUCUCUGGAUGAGUUGCGAACGGGUGAGUAACGCGUAGGUAACCUGCCUGGUAGCGGGGGAUAACUAUUGGAAACGAUAGCUAAUACCGCAUAAGAGUAGAUGUUGCAUGACAUUUGCUUAAAAGGUGCAAUUGCAUCACUACCAGAUGGACCUGCGUUGUAUUAGCUAGUUGGUGGGGUAACGGCUCACCAAGGCGACGAUACAUAGCCGACCUGAGAGGGUGAUCGGCCACACUGGGACGGAGACACGGCCCAGACUCCUACGGGAGGCAGCAGUAGGGAAUCUUCGGCAAUGGACGGAAGUCUGACCGAGCAACGCCGCGUGAGUGAAGAAGGGUUUCGGAUCGUAAAGCUCUGUUGUAAGAGAAGAACGAGUGUGAGAGUGGAAAGUUCACACUGUGACGGUAUCUUACCAGAAAGGGACGGCUAACUACGUG